RNAcentral lists this ribosomal RNA (351 nucleotides) under Triticum aestivum (bread wheat). RNAcentral describes it as "partial small subunit ribosomal RNA". Lineage: Eukaryota; Viridiplantae; Streptophyta; Magnoliopsida; Poales; Poaceae. The record is from RNAcentral.
AUGCGCCUGUUACAAAGUUUGAAGUCAGUAGAUUUGGAUACAUUAGAGCUGAGACUGUACAAAAGAAAACUUAGUUGCAUAAUCUUGACGGAGCAUGUUUGGUGCCAGUUUAUAUUGUUUUUACUUUUUUUUAGGGAGUUCAUAUUGUUUUACUACUAUGGCAAGUAUCAGAUCAUCUUUCUUUUUUUCUUUUUUUUUUGCGAGAAACAUAGAGCUUUAUUCAAUCAAAACCGGCUCCAGCGCAAUCAACCAUCAGGCUCGUCACUAGGAAGCCGGGAGGAGAGUCCAUCCAACAAUCAGUCACUCCCAGUGUGCUCGCAUGCUUUGCACAAAGGUGCGCUGAGUUGUUAG